RNAcentral lists this ribosomal RNA (572 nucleotides) under Exophiala xenobiotica. RNAcentral describes it as "eukaryotic LSU rRNA". It matches the Rfam family "Eukaryotic large subunit ribosomal RNA", at positions 74 to 657 of the family's 3401-position model. Lineage: Eukaryota; Fungi; Ascomycota; Eurotiomycetes; Chaetothyriales; Herpotrichiellaceae. The record is from RNAcentral.
AUGCCCUCAGUAACGGCGAGUGAAGCGGCAACAGCUCAAAUUUGAAAUCUGGCCUCUUUGGGGUCCGAGUUGUAAUUUGUAGAGGAUGUUUCGGGUACCGCCUCGGUCUAAAUUUCUUGGAACAGAAUGUCAAAGAGGGUGAGAAUCCCGUCUUGGACCGGCGGUAGGGCCCAUGUGAAACUCCUUCGACGAGUCGAGUUGUUUGGGAAUGCAGCUCAAAAUGGGUGGUAAAUUUCAUCUAAAGCUAAAUAUUGGCCAGAGACCGAUAGCGCACAAGUAGAGUGAUCGAAAGAUGAAAAGCACUUUGAAAAGAGAGUUAAACAGUAUGUGAAAUUGUUGAAAGGGAAGCGCUUGCAACCAGACUUGAGCGCGGCGGUUCCCCCUUCCUUUUGGUUGGGUUAUUCCGUCGUGUCCAGGCCAACAUCGGUUCUGGGGGUCGGUUAAAGGCUCGAGGAAUGUACCUACUCCUUCGGGGGUAGACUUAUAGCCUCGGGUGUCAUGCGACCUCCCGGGACCGAGGAACGCGCUUCGGCUCGGAUGUUGGCGUAAUGGUUGUCAGCGACCCGUCUUUA